This 496-nucleotide ribosomal RNA is filed under the name uncultured bacterium. RNAcentral describes it as "bacterial SSU rRNA". It matches the Rfam family "Bacterial small subunit ribosomal RNA", at positions 8 to 496 of the family's 1533-position model. The record is from RNAcentral.
AGAGUUUGAUCAUGGCUCAGGACGAACGCUGGCGGCGUGCCUAACUCAUGCAAGUCGAGCGAGUGGAGUUCUUCGGAACAAAGCUAGCGGCGGACGGGUGAGUAACACGUGGGCAACCUGCCUCAUAGAGGGGAAUAGCCUCCCGAAAGGGAGAUUAAUACCGCAUAAGAUUGUAGCUUCGCAUGAAGUAGCAAUUAAAGGAGCAAUCCGCUAUGAGAUGGGCCCGCGGCGCAUUAGCUAGUUGGUGAGGUAAUGGCUCACCAAGGCGACGAUGCGUAGCCGACCUGAGAGGGUGAUCGGCCACAUUGGGACUGAGACACGGUCCAGACUCCUACGGGAGGCAGCAGUGGGGAAUAUUGCACAAUGGGCGCAAGCCUGAUGCAGCCAUGCCGCGUGUAUGAAGAAGGCCUUCGGGUUGUAAAGUACUUUCAGCGGGGAGGAAGGGAGUAAAGUUAAUACCUUUGCUCAUUGACGUUACCCGCAGAAGAAGCACCGG